UGAAAUGCGAUAAUUAAUGUGAAUUGCAUUAUCUCGUGAAUCAUCAAGUUUUUGAACGCAUCUUGCACUUUUUCCUUAAAGAAAAAGUAUACUUGUUUGAGUAUUAAUAAAUAACAUAAUUAUUAUUAUGAAUUGAAAGUUUAUUCUCCUUAAAGAGAGUAAUCUUUUUAAAAAUUUUACUGUAUUUUGAAAUACUGAUUAAAUAAUCAUAGUAUUUCAAACCACAAAAUUCUAAGAAUUAAGUAAAAAUUUAAUCUCAAAUCAAGUAAGAUUACCCGCUGGACUUAA
RNAcentral lists this unclassified non-coding RNA (288 nucleotides) under uncultured fungus. RNAcentral describes it as "sequence contains ITS1". The stretch from base 1 to 106 matches the Rfam family "5.8S ribosomal RNA", at positions 49 to 154 of the family's 154-position model. The record is from RNAcentral. Lineage: Eukaryota; Fungi.